Long non-coding RNA from Anolis carolinensis (green anole), 1711 nucleotides. RefSeq lists it as uncharacterized. Lineage: Eukaryota; Metazoa; Chordata; Lepidosauria; Squamata; Anolidae. The transcript is spliced from 3 exons. The record is from RefSeq and is a predicted model, not a curated record.
CCCAGGGCGCCGCCUGAUGCUGUCACUGGACACAAUCGAGUGGGAGCUGGGCGAGGCCAUUCCGUUCGAAGGGGGCGUGGCUUUGAAAAAUGGGCGAGACCAUUGAGGAGACAGACAGAAAGCGAAUUUGGUCCACGGAGGAUAAGACCUACCCAAUAAAGAAGAAAGCUGUUACAAGGAGCCUGGAGAUGGGUCUAAUUGUUAUACCUCUCUUUCCCAUUUUGGAAAGAUAAGAUCAUUCAACUUUGUCCAGAAUCCCACUGGAGCAUUGCAGCACAUCAAAAUAUUUGGGAGUUACCCAAGACCACGCUCUGACUUACAAGAAGCACUGCUGACUAUCAAGCAAAUUGUGGGUCCUAAUAAUAAUAUCAUGUGAAAGCUGACUGACACAACCUGGGGAUUGCAACCAGAUACAGUGAAGAUAUCUGCCCUUGCACUUUGCUACUCUGCUGCUGAAAGUGUGGAAUACAUCUCACCAUGUUAAAACAGUGAAUCUGGCUCUUAAUGUGACAUGCCACAUUGUCACAGGAUGUCUACUCCCAACACCACUGGAGAAAUUAUAUUGUUUAACCGGUAUCGCAUCACCUGACAUCCAUUGGGAAGUAGUAGCCAGUAAUGAAAGGACCAAGGCAUUGACAUAUCCAACCCAUCCUCUGUUUGGAUAUCAUCCAGAAAAACGCCUUCAAUCAAGAAAUAGCUUCCUAAGAUCUACAGAGAUACUUGCAGGAACACCUCAGUAAGCAAGAGUCCAAAAGUGGCAGGCUAAAACCCAGAACCUCAAUCAGUGGCUGAUACCAGAUGAGAGACUCCCUCCUGGGCACACAGAAGACUGGGCGACUUGGAAGGCCGUGAACAGACUGCGCUCUGGCACCACGAGAUGCAGAGCCAACCUUAAGAAAUGGGGCUACAAAGUGGAGUCCACGGCAUGCAAAUGUGGAGAAGAGCAAACCACAGACCACCUAUUACAAUGCAGUCUGUGCUCCACCACAUGCACAAUGGAGGACCUUCAGAGGCACUCCAAGUGGCCAGCUUCUGAUCAAAGGACAUUUAGUAUAAUGCUAAGUUUUUAACUUUGUUUGUGGUUUUUUUUAUACAUCUUACAGUAUGCUCAGCCUGACUUACCAGGCGGAGAUAUUGCAGUGGCAGUCGUCCCACGGCCCGCCAUCUCCUUCCCAGAAGCCCCCUGCACAGGGUGAAUUGUAUUCUUAAUUUGCUUCUGACACAAUGAAUAAAUAUUCAACCAAAGCUUAGAAAUUUCUAAUAAGACGUGUCCCACCAAAACGGAGGCCAAAAGGAAAUGCUAGUUUGCCCCAACUUGCAAAUGCUUAUUUAUAUACACAGAUGCAAAAUUAGAUAUUGAUUUAAGAAAAAUUACAAUAUAUCUUAUACAAGUAGAGAAACCUAAUGAAUUGGGGUUCAUAUACACACAGGGCUAAAAUGCAACUUAGUCCUGAUUCCAAUCCUCACGUGAGACACAAUGUUUGCUGUAUCAAAGAGCAAUUCCAAAUCUUGUUAUUGUCUGGGAGUUAUUAUUAGAGAUGUGCACGAAAAUUUUUCCUUCAUUUCCUUCGUGCCAUCAUUUCAUUUCGACCGUUCAGCUACACAAAACAAAUGAUAACAUUUUCGUAAGAAAUGAAAGCCACAUAGUCAUCGUGCUUGCUUUCGUUUUCCUUUUGUUUCUGCCCUGUAACAAUAAACAGGUACUGAUAGA